This 602-nucleotide ribosomal RNA is filed under the name Dyella sp. RNAcentral's name for it is "bacterial SSU rRNA". It matches the Rfam family "Bacterial small subunit ribosomal RNA", at positions 139 to 736 of the family's 1533-position model. The record is from RNAcentral. Lineage: Bacteria; Pseudomonadati; Pseudomonadota; Gammaproteobacteria; Lysobacterales; Rhodanobacteraceae.
GGGGAUAACGUAGGGAAACGUACGCUAAUACCGCAUACGUCCUAUGGGAGAAAGCGGGGGACCGAAAGGCCUCGCGCGGUUGGACGAACCGAUGUGCGAUUAGCUAGUUGGUAGGGUAAUGGCCUACCAAGGCGACGAUCGCUAGCUGGUCUGAGAGGAUGAUCAGCCACACUGGAACUGAGACACGGUCCAGACUCCUACGGGAGGCAGCAGUGGGGAAUAUUGGACAAUGGGCGCAAGCCUGAUCCAGCAAUGCCGCGUGUGUGAAGAAGGCCUUCGGGUUGUAAAGCACUUUUAUCAGGAGCGAAAUACUACUGGCUAAUAACCGGUGGGGCUGACGGUACCUGAGGAAUAAGCACCGGCUAACUUCGUGCCAGCAGCCGCGGUAAUACGAAGGGUGCAAGCGUUAAUCGGAAUUACUGGGCGUAAAGCGUGCGUAGGCGGUUAUUUAAGUCUGUUGUGAAAUCCCCGGGCUCAACCUGGGAAUGGCAAUGGAUACUGGAUAGCUAGAGUGUGAUAGAGGAUGGUGGAAUUCCCGGUGUAGCGGUGAAAUGCGUAGAGAUCGGGAGGAACAUCAGUGGCGAAGGCGGCCAUCUGGAUCA